CGGGAAGUGGCGCAGCUUGGUUUAGCGCGCUGCGUUCGGGACGCAGAGGUCGUGGGUUCAAAUCCCACCUUCCCGACCA
RNAcentral lists this transfer RNA (79 nucleotides) under Candidatus Omnitrophota bacterium. RNAcentral describes it as "tRNA-Pro". It matches the Rfam family "tRNA". Rfam says of the family: Transfer RNA (tRNA) molecules are approximately 80 nucleotides in length. Their secondary structure includes four short double-helical elements and three loops (D, anti-codon, and T loops). Lineage: Bacteria; Pseudomonadati; Candidatus Omnitrophota. RNAcentral also lists the same sequence under 1 other name. The record is from RNAcentral.